GUCCAGACUCCUACGGGAGGCAGCAGUGGGGAAUAUUGCACAAUGGGGGAAACCCUGAUGCAGCGACGCCGCGUGAGUGAAGAAGUAUUUCGGUAUGUAAAGCUCUAUCAGCAGGGAAGAAAAUGACGGUACCUGACUAAGAAGCCCCGGCUAACUACGUGCCAGCAGCCGCGGUAAUACGUAGGGGGCAAGCGUUAUCCGGAUUUACUGGGUGUAAAGGGAGCGUAGACGGCAUGGCAAGUCAGAUGUGAAAGCCCGGGGCUCAACCCCGGGACUGCAUUUGAAACUGUCAGGCUGGAGUGCAGGAGAGGUAAGUGGAAUUCCUAGUGUAGCGGUGAAAUGCGUAGAUAUUAGGAGGAACACCAGUGGCGAAGGCGGCUUACUGGACUGUAACUGACGUUGAGGCUCGAAAGCGUGGGGAGCAAACAGGAUUAGAUACCCCCGUACA
This 448-nucleotide ribosomal RNA is filed under the name uncultured bacterium. Its description in RNAcentral is "bacterial SSU rRNA". It matches the Rfam family "Bacterial small subunit ribosomal RNA", at positions 329 to 794 of the family's 1533-position model. The record is from RNAcentral.